AAGACCAUCUCUUCGACGACGUAGACAAAGGGUUCCCAUCAUGUUCGAUCUGAGAAGAGAGAUGGAGAAGAAGAUGUCCUCCUCAAGGGGUCGACGCCCUCGCUCAGAACUAAAGGAUCCUCGCACAUCGGCACUCACUGCAUAAGCUCAUAGGGCAAGAUGAAGAUCCGGAAAAAGGUUAAAGAGAUCGUCAACUUCGCCUUGGCAUGCUUCCAUCAGCGCUGAAAAGAGAACUAAGGCAAGGCUGUUGAUGUGCCACUGUAUGGAGGGCUCAGAGAGAGUAUAAGCACUUUCCUUCACGCUGAGUGUGAACUUCCGAUUUGAGGCUGCUCUUAGACCAGGAAGAUUGCUUAUGACAUCAAUAGCUUGGUUCACUGAUUCUGACUGUGUCCCACUCACUCUUUCUAGAAACUUGAUAACCUGAAAACCUGGUACU
Molecule: long non-coding RNA, 436 nt
Filed under: Capsicum annuum
Lineage: Eukaryota; Viridiplantae; Streptophyta; Magnoliopsida; Solanales; Solanaceae
Description: long non-coding RNA (CANN_LNC020698)
Source: RNAcentral